UGGGGAAUUUUGGACAAUGGGCGAAAGCCUGAUCCAGCAAUGCCGCGUGAGUGAAGAAGGCCUUCGGGUUGUAAAGCUCUUUUGUCAGGGAAGAAACGGUGAGGGCUAAUAUCCCUUGCUAAUGACGGUACCUGAAGAAUAAGCACCGGCUAACUACGUGCCAGCAGCCGCGGGAAUACGUAGGGUGCAAGCGUUAAUCGGAAUUACUGGGCGUAAAGCGUGCGCAGGCGGUUUUGUAAGUCUGAUGUGAAAUCCCCGGGCUCAACCUGGGAAUUGCAUUGGAGACUGCAAGGCUAGAAUCUGGCAGAGGGGGGUAGAAUUCCACGUGUAGCAGUGAAAUGCGUAGAUAUGUGGAGGAACACCGAUGGCGAAGGCAGCCCCCUGGGUCAAGAUUGACGCUCAUGCACGAAAGCGUGGGGAGCAAACA
This 427-nucleotide ribosomal RNA is filed under the name uncultured bacterium. Its description in RNAcentral is "partial 16S ribosomal RNA". It matches the Rfam family "Bacterial small subunit ribosomal RNA", at positions 355 to 774 of the family's 1533-position model. The record is from RNAcentral.